Molecule: long non-coding RNA, 520 nt
Filed under: Chinchilla lanigera (long-tailed chinchilla)
Lineage: Eukaryota; Metazoa; Chordata; Mammalia; Rodentia; Chinchillidae
Description: lncRNA (ENSCLAG00000024416.1)
Source: RNAcentral
AGUUUCAGUUUCACAAGAUGAAAAGAGUUACAGAGAUGGUUGGUGGUGAUGGUUGCACAGCAUUACGCAUGCUGUUAAUACCACUGAGCUGUGCACUUGAGGAUGACUAAGCUGGGAAAUUUUACUGUAAGCAUUUUGUCACAUUAAAAAAUUGGGAGAAAAACUUUCAUCAUAAUGAACAUGCACUAUUAAAGUCUGCUUUUUUUAGGACAGAGAAGCAUAUCCCUGUUUCUCCUUGGAGGGCAGCGUGUAAUCUAAACGGAAGCCCACAGAGAAGAAGGUACAGGCCCAGCACGAUGCUCCUGGCUAAAGAAAGGACCAGAAUAUGUGGAAGAACCUGGAUGCAGGUAACAAAAGAAACCUUUCUAUGGUGCCCAGGAAGAAUACAUGACAAGUUCCAUUCUGUACUUGGACGCUCACCGCCUGGCUGAGUUAGGCACUAGAUAAGUAUUAGUGGCUCUUGCUAUGCAAAUGUGCGGUUUCCAUUUGAAAAAAUAUCCCGCUAUCUAUGCAUAUUUAC